This is a long non-coding RNA of Dermacentor albipictus, 542 nucleotides long. RefSeq lists it as uncharacterized. The record is from RefSeq and is a predicted model, not a curated record. Lineage: Eukaryota; Metazoa; Arthropoda; Arachnida; Ixodida; Ixodidae.
GAAAAAGCCGUCGCUUGGAAAAGACGACGAAGAGGACGCUGUCGUCUCCAUAUCGCCACUUUGCUGGGGGCAUAUCUCUCGUCCGAAGCAUCAGCAGUUUCACCGAUAACGCCGCCAUCGGCGCCAACUUUCGACCAUGAUGGAGAAUGCUAUCUUCCUUACUUGGAUUACGGCGUCCCUUCAGUCAGCGGCUGGCCAGGGGCAUCGUCACCGACAGUCUCAUCAGAAGAGUACAAAAGGGCGGCGGAUCCGACUUCGGCCUUCAGUGGGCAAGGGAUAGCGGCGACAAUGCAUUCGUCGCUCACAAACCCGCUUCUGUUCUACAUGCAGUCCCUACAGCUUUCUACCCUGCCCAAAGACUGGAAGGUGGGAAAGGUGGUUCCGAUCCAUAAAUCAGAGCCGACCUGGGGACCAAUCCACCUCGAGGAAGAAGAGAGUACCGAUCCCCCUCCCCCAUAGAGUACCCCUUUUCUGCCGCAAGGCUUGGCCUAGUAAACGCAGAAAUAAAGACGUAUAAAAAAGAUGAUUGCAAGCGAAAAUGC